AUGAACGCUGGCGGCGUGCCUAAUCCCUGCAAGUCGCGCGCACGGACGAGAAGCUUGCUUCUCUGAUGUUAGCGGCGGACGGGUGAGUAACACGUGGAUAACCUACCUAUAAGACUGGGAUAACUUCGGGAAACCGGAGCUAAUUCCGGAUGAUAUUUUGAACCGCAUGGUUCAAAAGUGAAAGACGGUCUUGCUGUCACUUAUAGAUGGAUCCGCGCUGCAUUAGCUAGUUGGUAAGGUAACGGCUUACCAAGGCAACGAUGCAUAGCCGACCUGAGAGGGUGAUCGGCCACACUGGAACUGAGACACGGUCCAGACUCCUACGGGAGGCAGCAGUAGGGAAUCUUCCGCAAUGGGCGAAAGCCUGACGGAGCAACGCCGCGUGAGUGAUGAAGGUCUUCGGAUCGUAAAACUCUGUUAUUAGGGAAGAACAUAUGUGUAAGUAACUGUGCACAUCUUGACGGUACCUAAUCAGAAAGCCACGGCUAACUACGUG
RNAcentral lists this ribosomal RNA (496 nucleotides) under uncultured bacterium. Its description in RNAcentral is "partial 16S ribosomal RNA". It matches the Rfam family "Bacterial small subunit ribosomal RNA", at positions 29 to 507 of the family's 1533-position model. The record is from RNAcentral.